GAAUCUUGGGCAAUGGGCGAAAGCUUGACCCAGCAACGCCGCGUGAGGGAUGAAGGCCUUCGGGUCGUAAACCUCUGUCGGGAGGGAAGAACGUUCUCGGGGCGAACAGUCCCGAGGGCUGACGGUACCUCCAAAGGAAGCGCCGGCCAACCCCGUUCCAGCAGCCGCGAUAAUACGGAGGGCGCAAGCGUUGUUCGGAAUCAUUGGGCGUAAAGCGCGUGUAGGCGGCUUGGCAAGUCGAGUGUGAAAGCCCGGGGCUCAACCCCGGAAGGUCGCUCGAAACUGCCUCGCUAGAGUCCCGGAGAGGAAGGCGGAAUUCCCGGUGUAGAGGUGAAAUUCGUAGAUAUCGGGAGGAACACCAGCGGCGAAGGCGGCCUUCUGGACGGUGACUGACGCUGAGACGCGAAAGCGUGGGGAGCAAACAGG
Molecule: ribosomal RNA, 426 nt
Filed under: uncultured bacterium
Lineage: Bacteria
Description: bacterial SSU rRNA
Rfam family: Bacterial small subunit ribosomal RNA
Source: RNAcentral